RNAcentral lists this ribosomal RNA (175 nucleotides) under uncultured bacterium. RNAcentral describes it as "partial 16S ribosomal RNA". It matches the Rfam family "Bacterial small subunit ribosomal RNA", at positions 118 to 291 of the family's 1533-position model. The record is from RNAcentral.
UGAGGAACAUGACUUUCGGCGGGGGAUAGCCGGCCCAACGGCCGGGUAAUACCGCGUACGACCUUUUGGGGACAUCCCCGAUUGGUGAAAGCAGCAAUGCGCCGAAAGAGUGCCUCGCGGCCUAUCAGCUAGUUGGUGGGGUAAUGGCUCACCAAGGCGACGACGGGUAGCUGGU